This 255-nucleotide small nuclear RNA is filed under the name Chinchilla lanigera (long-tailed chinchilla). RNAcentral's name for it is "7SK RNA (ENSCLAG00000021744.1)". It matches the Rfam family "7SK RNA", at positions 1 to 273 of the family's 331-position model. Rfam says of the family: 7SK was discovered as an abundant small nuclear RNA in the mid-70s but a possible function has only recently been suggested. Two independent studies have found that 7SK RNA binds the CDK9/cyclin T complex (known as elongation factor P-TEFb). P-TEFb activates transcription by phosphorylating the C-terminal domain of RNA polymerase II. The record is from RNAcentral. Lineage: Eukaryota; Metazoa; Chordata; Mammalia; Rodentia; Chinchillidae.
GGACGUGAGGGUGAUCGGGCUGCGAUGUCAGCACCCCACUGACUGCCAGGGUUGAGUCGGCUGAUCUGGCUGGCUAGGCAGGGUCCCCUUCCUCCCUCACUGCUCCACGUGUCCCUCCUGAAGCUGCGUGCUGAGUGGAAGAGGACAACCACCCUGACAGAGGAGACCCGUUUCCUCAGUCAAGAGCAUCUGCAUAGCUGCACAACCCUUCCAAAUAAGCUCCUGGAGGGGCUAGGGAUUUAGCUCAGCGGCAAA